GUCAUAAUCUUCUGGCUGUCGGUGUCAUCAGAGUAAACAAAUUUUACCUUCUUGUAUGUCUUCUGGUCCAGAAAAGGCUUCACCACCUACAAAAUCCAAAACCAAUGAGAUGAAGCAUUGUGCCUCACAUUAAGCUGAAGAAUGUUGUUCUUGACUCGAGACAUUGUACAGAAGUCGCAGCAGUAAAUAACAAUGCAUGCCCAGCUUCGAAGACCGGUACCGGUUUACCUAAUCAGGAAUCAACUAAAUAGAGUGAUGGCGGUGACAGAUGUGCCCAGUGCAAUGCCGGCCCUCUCGAAAACAAAUUGAAAGGCAAUGUAUGAUGAUGUUAGCCUAAUCCGCACUAGCUACGGAAACAUCGGACUCAAUGGAGUGGAUGAACUUGUACAUGGUAAGCAUCCGGUUAUGAUCGGCUCGCAUCGGACUCGAUGGAGCGGAUGAACUUGUAAAUGGUCAACAUCUGGUUAUGAUCGGACUCAAUGGAGUGGAUGAGAUGAACUUGUACAUGGUAAGCAUUGGGUUAUGAUCGUCUCACAUCGGACUCUCGGACUCAAUGGAGCGGGUGAACUUGUAAAUGGUCAACAUCUGGUUAUGAUCGGACUCAACGGAGUGGAUGAGAUGAACUUGUGUACAUGAUCC
Musa acuminata AAA Group (dessert banana) is the source of this 639-nucleotide long non-coding RNA. RefSeq lists it as uncharacterized. The transcript is spliced from 3 exons. The record is from RefSeq and is a predicted model, not a curated record. NCBI's taxonomy places the organism in Eukaryota, Viridiplantae, Streptophyta, Magnoliopsida, Zingiberales, Musaceae.